AGUGAACGCUGGCGGCAGGCCUAACACAUGCAAGUCGAGCGGCAGCGGGUCCCCGCGAGGGGAGUGCCGGCGAGCGGCGGACGGGUGAGAACACAUCGGAAUCUGCCUGGUUGUGGGGAUAACGUAGGAACUUACGCUAAUACCGCAUGCGACCCUGAGUCGACGGACUGGGGGUGAAAGUGAGGGACCUUCGGCCUCACGCGACCAGAUGAGCCGAUGUCGGAUUAGCUAGUUGGCGGGGUAACGGCCCGCCAAGGCGACGAUCCGUAGCUGGUCUGAGAGGAUGAUCAGCCACACUGGGACUGAGACACGGCCCA
RNAcentral lists this ribosomal RNA (317 nucleotides) under uncultured bacterium. RNAcentral describes it as "bacterial SSU rRNA". It matches the Rfam family "Bacterial small subunit ribosomal RNA", at positions 30 to 333 of the family's 1533-position model. The record is from RNAcentral.